GAGUGUGGGUACUCGCCAAGCCUGCUAAUUUUGCCCUGGCUUCUAAGAUCCACGUGAAAGGGAGCCCAAGGUGGGGCACCCUCCACUAUUCAAGUGGGCAUCGGUGGCCUACUUAGGUGGUGCAAAUCUCUUGUCUUGAGAUUCUAUUGGUAUUGCGCAUAAACCAAAUUAUUCAGCCUCUUUUUCUCCACUAAUUUUCCUACUACANNNNNNNNNNNNNNNNNNNNNNNNNNNNNNNNNNNNNNNNNNNNNNNNNNNNNNNNNNUGACUCUGUCCCUGCUUCAAAUUACCCUGGAUCCACCAGGGCUGGACCCCAGCAGUCAAUAUUAUUAUUAUCAUUUUUUUUUUCUGCCCUGGGAGCUUUAAUGUGAUAGUGACAAUGUUGCCCUUUCUAUACAAGUGAAUAAGUAUUUGCUUAUUCCAGCAAUCAAAUAUUCUGAGAUGUUUUUUCUAAAUUUGUCUUUUACUUCUUUUAAAUAUCUUCCCAAAUGAUGUAGUGUUUUGUUUUCAUUAUUUUGGGUCAUAAUUAUUUUUAUACCUUACAUUCAGUCUCAUUCUUGGCCCAAUUCUUAUUUAUUUUUCAUUUCCUUUCACACUUUAUCCCAUGAAGUUUAGGCACUCCUUUUCACUUCAAAAAUAGAGAUAAAUCGUGUAUAUCCCUUGACUUAUGACAUCUGAAACACCUAAGAUCUGUUCUUCCACAUGCUGGUGAAAUAGCUCAAGAAUACACCCAAGAGAACGGCAUAUCACUCCUCAGAAAUCAGACACGUGCACGCCUCCUAAGAACAGACACCCCAACUCCGAGAGACAAAAGGCAAAGAACAGUGGCUCUCUGGCUCCCAGCUCUGCGGAGUUUCUGGAAAGGAGGACGGCUCCACCCUAACCUGCUCCACACCUGGCUCCAGCUUUGCACGAAGGACAAGCUUCCAGCCUGACUGCUUCAGUUUAUGUCCUGACCAUUGAUGGCAACAUGGUAUGUGGUGUUCCAAGAGGCUCAAUGACUUUAUCUUCACUUCUCCUCCCUGAUGAACCUAGGAGAAUAUGCAGGCAAAAUGAGCCAAUUUUUGUUCUUAGCUCCAUGACAGUUGUGUGAACAUGGGCAUGUUAGCUGAGACUCAGUUUCUUAAUAUUUUAAUAGAAAUUUUAAUACCUAUCUCAAUCAUAUCAUAGGGAAUUAGGGC
This 1181-nucleotide long non-coding RNA is filed under the name Capra hircus (goat). RNAcentral describes it as "lncRNA (ENSCHIG00010011001.1)". The record is from RNAcentral. Lineage: Eukaryota; Metazoa; Chordata; Mammalia; Artiodactyla; Bovidae.